RNAcentral lists this ribosomal RNA (778 nucleotides) under uncultured bacterium. RNAcentral's name for it is "bacterial SSU rRNA". It matches the Rfam family "Bacterial small subunit ribosomal RNA", at positions 84 to 878 of the family's 1533-position model. The record is from RNAcentral.
UUCUCGAGCGAGUGGCGAACGGGUGAGUAACGCGUGAGGAACCUGCCUCAAAGAGGGGGACAACAGUUGGAAACGACUGCUAAUACCGCAUAAGCCCACGGCUCGGCAUCGAGCAGAGGGAAAAGGAGCAAUCCGCUUUGAGAUGGCCUCGCGUCCGAUUAGCUAGUUGGUGAGGUAACGGCCCACCAAGGCGACGAUCGGUAGCCGGACUGAGAGGUUGAACGGCCACAUUGGGACUGAGACACGGCCCAGACUCCUACGGGAGGCAGCAGUGGGGAAUAUUGCACAAUGGGGGAAACCCUGAUGCAGCGACGCCGCGUGGAGGAAGAAGGUCUUCGGAUUGUAAACUCCUGUUGUUGGGGAAGAUAAUGACGGUACCCAACAAGGAAGUGACGGCUAACUACGUGCCAGCAGCCGCGGUAAAACGUAGGUCACAAGCGUUGUCCGGAAUUACUGGGUGUAAAGGGAGUGCAGGCGGGAAGACAAGUUGGAAGUGAAAUCUAUGGGCUCAACCCAUAAACUGCUUUCAAAACUGUUUUUCUUGAGUAGUGCAGAGGUAGGCGGAAUUCCCGGUGUAGCGGUGGAAUGCGUAGAUAUCGGGAGGAACACCAGUGGCGAAGGCGGCCUACUGGGCACCAACUGACGCUGAGGCUCGAAAGUGUGGGUAGCAAACAGGAUUAGAUACCCUGGUAGUCCACACCGUAAACGAUGAUUACUAGGUGUUGGGGGAUUGACCCCCUCAGUGCCGCAGUUAACACAAUAAGUAAUCCACCUGGGG